CAACCGGGAUUGCCUCAGUAACGGCGAGUGAAGCGGCAAGAGCUCAAAUUUGAAAGCUGGCUCCUUCGGAGUCCGCAUUGUAAUUUGCAGAGGAUGCUUUGGGUGCGGCCCCCGUCUAAGUGCCCUGGAACGGGCCGUCAGAGAGGGUGAGAAUCCCGUCUUGGGCGGGGUGUCCGUGCCCGUGUAAAGCUCCUUCGACGAGUCGAGUUGUUUGGGAAUGCAGCUCUAAAUGGGUGGUAAAUUUCAUCUAAAGCUAAAUACUGGCCGGAGACCGAUAGCGCACAAGUAGAGUGAUCGAAAGAUGAAAAGCACUUUGAAAAGAGAGUUAAACAGCACGUGAAAUUGUUGAAAGGGAAGCGCUUGCGACCAGACUCGCCCGCGGGGUUCAGCCGGCAUUCGUGCCGGUGUACUUCCCCGUGGGCGGGCCAGCGUCGGUUUGGGCGGCCGGUCAAAGGCCCCUGGAAUGUAGUGCCCUCCGGGGCACCUUAUAGCCAGGGGUGCAAUGCGGCCAGCCUGGACCGAGGAACGCGCUUCGGCACGGACGCUGGCAUAAUGGUCGUAAACGACCCGUCUUGAAACACGGACCA
This 587-nucleotide ribosomal RNA is filed under the name Aspergillus niger. RNAcentral's name for it is "eukaryotic LSU rRNA". It matches the Rfam family "Eukaryotic large subunit ribosomal RNA", at positions 66 to 668 of the family's 3401-position model. The record is from RNAcentral. Lineage: Eukaryota; Fungi; Ascomycota; Eurotiomycetes; Eurotiales; Aspergillaceae.